GUACCUCCCAACAGUGCCUCAAUUUACCAACCUUUCAUUUCCCCUGCAUUUUGGGCUUAACAGACCAACCAAAAUGGACUUUGUCAUUUGCUCUACUUAGUGAGUUAAAUACAUUCCAGGUUCUGAGCAAAUACGCAUAGCGUACUUUCCCUCAUAAGCAAGAUUCCUUUGGGAUGAAGUUACUGCAACAACGUGGCUGGGUCUCUGAGUCAUCACGCCGAGUGAAGCAAGCCAGACCAAAAAGGGACGUGCUGCCUGACCCAUCCGCGUCAAUUCCAGAAGGUGCAAAGGACCCACUGUGGCAGGAAGUGGGCAAGUGGGGUCGUGUUCAUGACCUUCACAGGGCGCUGCUCCCACGGGGUCUCGAGACUCAUCCAGUUGUAUACGUCACAGGUGAAUUGGUAACAUUACUGGAAAUAUUUUUAUGACCUGAAGGAAAUGUUAUUUUUUCAAACUUUCAACAAUCAAAUACUUCAUGGGAAAUUAACGCGUGUUGCAAACAUUAAAACAAUUCAUUAAAUAGG
Orcinus orca (killer whale) is the source of this 524-nucleotide long non-coding RNA. RefSeq lists it as uncharacterized. The record is from RefSeq and is a predicted model, not a curated record. NCBI's taxonomy places the organism in Eukaryota, Metazoa, Chordata, Mammalia, Artiodactyla, Delphinidae. The transcript has 2 exons.